UGUUAAAAAUUUCAUUUAUUUGUACGGUUAAAAACUAGCGUGUCUGAUGAAAUAACCAUAGAGUAACAUGUGACAUGCCAUGUGUAUGUCAUGUUGACGUAUAAAGAUCGGUUUUUAACAAUAGAAAUAGAUGAAAUUUUUAACA
This is a non-coding RNA of Gossypium raimondii (Peruvian cotton), 145 nucleotides long. The record is from Rfam. Lineage: Eukaryota; Viridiplantae; Streptophyta; Magnoliopsida; Malvales; Malvaceae.